This 2538-nucleotide long non-coding RNA is filed under the name Homo sapiens (human). Its description in RNAcentral is "NR2F1 regulatory antisense RNA 1". The record is from RNAcentral. Lineage: Eukaryota; Metazoa; Chordata; Mammalia; Primates; Hominidae.
GGACGGGAGCCGCUCCCGGGCGGCACACAGCCGAGUCCCUCCUCCCCUCCCCGCAGGCAGCCUGUGCCUUUUCUCCAAACGAAGACAGCACUUUGAAAAUUCUUUCAAUGGAUUUUUUUUUCCUUGAAAGAUCGUACUGGGGGAAAAUGAUACUUCUAUUAGUUACAUAUUCUCCAAUCGCAUACUCGCACCCCCCUCGUUUUGAGAUCGCUCCCCUAGGCAGGCUCAGGCGGGCGCGGAGCCGCGCGGAGUGACAAAGCCGCCGCUGCCGCCGCCGGGGGUGGGAGCCGCGCUCGCCCGCCCGCCCCUCGACUCGCGAGGGCGUAAAAGUUUGUCUCAGCUCGAGCAUUCCUAGCGCCAACACGCCCUCAGGUAAAGGUGGAAGUAAAUGGCCACGCUGUAUUGACAGAGCAGGUAGAUGAAACUCAAGAGAAAAGGUGUGGAUAAAUGAAACUAGCCCAUGAUGAACCUGUUUUCUCCGUGACCACAAUAUUAACCAGGAUGAAUGGCGGUGGCAGUGGGCCUGCAUCACAGGUUGCAGCAGAUGUUCUCAAUAUUUCUAUUAAAAUUUCCUUAUUUCCAUAUGCAAGAGGAGCCCCAGAGCUGCAUCCUUAUGGUAGCUACCAUGCCGUGAUGUAAGCUGCCAUUCACUGGGGAGCUUUGGCAAUAGAAUUGGCUAGAUCAGGAAGCCUAUGUCAACUAUGGAACAACAACUUGCAGCUCAUCUCUAUUGAUGAUGGAAUCUCGCUAUGUCACCAGGCUGGAGUGCAGUGGCGCAACCUCGGCUCAGCGCAACAUCCGCCUCCCGGGUUCAAGUGAUUCUCCUACCUCAGCCUCCUGAGUAGCUGGGAUUACAGGAAUCUAAUGACCAUUGAACUGUGGCCAUGACUUCAAUUACAAAUACACUGCCUCUAGGACUGGGACAGAUAGCCACUGAGUACCUGCUUCAAAUCACCCUGCACGUUUUCUCUUUGGAAAGAUAAGCACUGGAGAACCAUCUCGUUACCUUCAGCAGAAAUGGAAACAAAUCAAGACAUUAAGAAUGCCGCAGUGGACAGCAGUUAUGCAAGGUUCAGCAGAGGAAGUUUUCAAGAUGGUGUGCCUCACUAGCCAGAAAUCAGAAAAGAUCGAAGCUAGCCUUUUCAUCUCAGCUGCUCCUUAAAUCAGUGCAACCCCUCCAAAUUAAUGUGAAUUGAAACUUGCAUUGCUUUUCAACUUAAUUGAAUACUUACUAUAUGUGAACCACUGCACAAAAUAGGGGAAGAAGAUGUGGGAGACAAAGAUGUGGAGCCUGUCUUCAAUAAAUUUACAGUUAGUUUCAGGGUACAUUGUUUUUCUUCUGCUGUUAAUUAGGUGUAUCCCCAAGACAAUAAAUACAUGAAUGGAAAAGUAUAUUCUGUGUUUUAAGUCUCUUUAAUAAAAAACAAAACAAAAUCCAAAAAAACUCCUAACAUGGCAACUCAGGACAUUUUAAUCCUUUUUUUUGUUGUUGGGCUUCUGAUAGGAUCCAUUUUAUUGAUUCCAUAAAUAUUUAGUAGACUUUAGACAUAUUAAUACAUUGUAGUUUGAGUUAAUUUGCAUUAAAUUCUGUUUUUUUCCCCUUAGGUAUAGAUUGUCUGUUGGAAAAAUAUAUUGCUUGUGGAUUUCUUGGGGAGUGGGAAGGUGAAUUAUACCUGUUGUCUCUACAGUCCACUACCUUCCACACCCUAGGGCAGUGGUCCCCAACCUUCUUGGCACCAGGGAUCAGUUUCCUGGAAGACAAUUUUUCUGUGGAUGGUGUGGGGAUGGUUUUGGGAUGGAACUGUUCCACCUCAGAUCAUCAGGCAUUAGUUAGGCUCUCAUAACGAGUGCGCAGCCUAGAUCCCUCACAUGCACAGUUCACAGUAGGGUUUGCGCUGCUAUGAGAAUCUAAGGCUGCCACUGAUCUGACAGGAGGCAGAACUCAGGUGGCAAUGCUUACUGGCCCACUGCUCACCUCUUGCUGUGCGGCCUGGUUCCUAAUAGGCCAUGGACCCCCACAGACGGGUACUAGUCUGCAGCCUGUGGACCCCAGCCCUAGGGGCCUGCCAUUCUGAGUGAGUUAUUAGCAUGAAGAAGAGGAAGAUCUGGAUCAAACGUGGGUGAUGGUACUCAGAGACCCAAGAUAGGAUAGGGAUGGAACAAAAUCCAUCUGGGCAACGGCUCUAUGAAAAUUUGGCUAAGUAAUUAUUUCAGUAUUCAUUGUAUUCAUUGUCCUUCGUGUUCCAUAAGUUAAAUGACUGUCUAAUUUUUCCAAAAAUUUAUUUCUGACUUGAGAAUAAGUGUGUCAUGAUUUUCCCAGUGUAAAGACACUGAUAUAACUGUAGAUACCAGACAUUUUAUGUAGUGUCUAUGACACAUUUUAGUAUGUAUGAGCCAACAAUAGACAUGUCUUUGUCUUGAGGAGUGUCCAUCUGAAUUGAAAAUGUGUCAGCUUUUUUUUAACAUCAUCAACAGACUUCUUAAUUAAGCUGCCAAUACAUACUGCCAAUAGCACUGUGUGCUGUCUGAGAAAUGCAU